UGGGGAAUAUUGGACAAUGGGGGCAACCCUGAUCCAGCAAUGCCGCGUGUGUGAAGAAGGUCUUCGGAUUGUAAAGCACUUUCGACGGGGACGAUGAUGACGGUACCCGUAGAAGAAGCCCCGGCUAACUUCGUGCCAGCAGCCGCGGUAAUACGAAGGGGGCUAGCGUUGCUCGGAAUGACUGGGCGUAAAGGGCGUGUAGGCGGUUUACACAGUCAGAUGUGAAAUCCCCGGGCUUAACCUGGGAGCUGCAUUUGAUACGUGUAGACUAGAGUGUGAGAGAGGGUUGUGGAAUUCCCAGUGUAGAGGUGAAAUUCGUAGAUAUUGGGAAGAACACCGGUGGCGAAGGCGGCAACCUGGCUCAUGACUGACGCUGAGGCGCGAAAGCGUGGGGAGCAAACAGGAUUAGAUACCCUGGUAGUCCACGCUGUAAACGAUGUGUGCUAGAUGUUGGGUAACUUUGUUAUUCAGUGUCGCAGUU
RNAcentral lists this ribosomal RNA (481 nucleotides) under uncultured bacterium. RNAcentral's name for it is "partial 16S ribosomal RNA". It matches the Rfam family "Bacterial small subunit ribosomal RNA", at positions 355 to 853 of the family's 1533-position model. The record is from RNAcentral.